This 449-nucleotide ribosomal RNA is filed under the name uncultured bacterium. RNAcentral's name for it is "partial 16S ribosomal RNA". It matches the Rfam family "Bacterial small subunit ribosomal RNA", at positions 29 to 523 of the family's 1533-position model. The record is from RNAcentral.
AACGAACGCUGGCGGCAUGCCUAACACAUGCAAGUCGAACGAGAUCUUCGGGUCUAGUGGCGCACGGGUGCGUAACGCGUGGGAAUCUGCCCUUUGGUUCGGAAUAACAGUUGGAAACGACUGCUAAUACCGGAUGAUGACGAAAGUCCAAAGAUUUAUCGCCAGAGGAUGAGCCCGCGUAGGAUUAGCUAGUUGGUGUGGUAAAGGCGCACCAAGGCGACGAUCCUUAGCUGGUCUGAGAGGAUGAUCAGCCACACUGGGACUGAGACACGGCCCAGACUCCUACGGGAGGCAGCAGUGGGGAAUAUUGGACAAUGGGCGAAAGCCUGAUCCAGCAAUGCCGUGUGAGUGAUGAAGGCCUUAGGGUUGUAAAGCUCUUUUACCCGGGAUGAUAAUGACAGUACCGGGACAAUAAGCUCCGGCUAACUCCGUGCCAGCCGCCGCCGUAA